This 492-nucleotide ribosomal RNA is filed under the name uncultured bacterium. RNAcentral describes it as "partial 16S ribosomal RNA". It matches the Rfam family "Bacterial small subunit ribosomal RNA", at positions 29 to 507 of the family's 1533-position model. The record is from RNAcentral.
AGUGAACGCUGGCGGUAGGCCUAACACAUGCGAGUCGAACGGCAGCACAGUAAGAGCUUGCUCCUACGGGUGGCGAGUGGCGGACGGGUGAGGAAUACAUCGGAAUCUACUUUUUCGUGGGGGAUAACGUAGGGACACUUACGCUACUACCGCAUACGACCUACGGGUGAAAGCAGUGGAUCUUCGGAGCUUUCGCGACUGAAUGAGCCGAUGUCGGAUUAGCUAGUUGGCGGGGUAAAGGCCCACCAAGGCAACGAUGCGUAGCUGGUCUGAGAGGAUGAUCAGCCACACUGGAACUGAGACACGGUCCAGACUCCUACGGGAGGCAGCAGUGGGGAAUAUUGGACAAUGGGCGCAAGCCUGAUCCAGCCAUGCCGCGUGGGUGAAGAAGGUCUUCGGGUUGUAAAGCCCUUUUAUUGGGAAAGAAAAGCAGCAGGUGUAUACCCCGCUGCUCUGACGGUACCUAAAGAAUAAGCACCGGCUAACUUCGUG